RNAcentral lists this ribosomal RNA (1677 nucleotides) under metagenome. RNAcentral's name for it is "bacterial LSU rRNA". It matches the Rfam family "Bacterial large subunit ribosomal RNA", at positions 1314 to 2925 of the family's 2925-position model. The record is from RNAcentral.
AACAUAAUGCAACUAGCACAAUCUAAUAAUCACCACCACCACCACCACUAAACCCAGCUUUCUUGUACAAAGAAAGCCUAAGGUUUCCUGAGCAAGGUCAAUCCGCUCAGGGUUAGUCGGUCCCUAAGGCGAGGCCGAACGGCGUAGUCGAUGGGAAGCAGGUUAACAUUCCUGCACCACUCUGUCCUCGUUAUCACGAUGGGGUGACGCAGAAGGAUAGGUCGGGCUGCGAUUGGAAGUGCAGCUUGAAGCGUGUAGGCGGGGGUAGCAGGCAAAUCCACUACCCCAUACGCCGAGACGUGAUCUCGGGGCCGUAUGGCUCGUAGCGACUGAUUCCACGCUGCCGAGAAAAACCUCUAAGGAGAGGGCGGGGUGACCGUACCGGAAACGGACACACGUAGGCUGGGAGAGUAUCCCAAGGCGCUUGAGUGAUCCCCCGUGAAGGAACUAGGCAAAAUGACACCGUAACUUCGGGAGAAGGUGUGCUCUUUGCCGUGUAGAUCCUCGCGGUUGAAGCGGUGGGGAGUCGCAGUGAAGUGGCCCAGGCGACUGUUUAAUAAAAACACAGCACUCUGCAAACGUCACAAGCGGACGUAUAGGGUGUGAAGCCUGCCCGGUGCCGGAAGGUUAAGGGGAGGGGUCAGCGCAAGCGAAGCUCUGAACUGAAGCCCCGGUAAACGGCGGCCGUAACUAUAACGGUCCUAAGGUAGCGAAAUUCCCUGUCGGGUAAGUUCCGACCUGCACGAAAGGCGAAACAUCUGGGCGCUGUCUCCACGGGGGGCUCAGCGAAUCUGUAGUACCGGUGAAGAUGCCGGUUUCCCGCACCUAGACGGAUAGACCCUGUGCACCUUUACUACAACUUGUCACUGGAUCUUGGCGCUGUAUGUGCAGGAUAGGUGGGAGGCUGUGAAGUCGGGGCGUUAGCCUCGAUGGAGCCGUCGGUGAGAUACCACCCUUACUGCUCUGAGGUUCUAACCUGGAGCCGUGAAUCCGGCUCGGGGUCACUGGCAGGCGGGUAGUUUGACUGGGGCGGUCGCCUCACAAACUGUAACUGAGGCGCCCAAAGGUUCCCUCAGGCUGAUUGGAAACCAGCCGGAGAGUGCAAAGGCACAAGGGAGCUUGACUGCGAGACCAACAAGUCGAGCAGGGACGAAAGUCGGGCUUAGUGAUCCGGCGAUCCCGUAUGGAAGGGUCGUCGCUCAACGGAUAAAAGGUACGCCCGGGAUAACAGGCUGAUCCUGCCCAAGAGUUCACAUCGACGGCGGGGUUUGGCACCUCGAUGUCGGCUCAUCGCAUCCUGGGGCUGAAGCAGGUCCCAAGGGUUCGGCUGUUCGCCGAUUAAAGCGGUACGUGAGCUGGGUUUAGAACGUCGCGAGACAGUUCGGUCCCUAUCUGGUGUGGGCGGAGGACACUUGAGAAGAGCUGUCCUUAGUACGAGAGGACCAGGACGGACGGACCUCCAGUAUGCCAGUUGUCGCGCCAGCGGCAGCGCUGGGUAGCUGUGUCCGGAUUGGAUAACCGCUGAAUGCAUCUAAGCGGGAAGCCAACUUCAAGAUUAGGUGUCCCGGGCACAAGCCCCUAAAGGCCCCUGGUAGAUGACCAGGUUGAUAGGCGGGAGGUGGAAGCGCGGCGACGCGUGUAGCUGACCCGUACUAAUCGGCCGUGCGGCUUGACCGC